CUCAGGAGGGGAAGGCUGAAAAUGAGCAGGAACAGUUGCUGCUGCUGGAACCCCAGGAAUUUCUUCAGGGUGCUGUGCAGCUGACCCAGAUGACAGACCCACCUUGCUCCGUCCCCUGGCUUUCUCCCGAGAGUCCCACCCGCUCCCAUCUGGCGGUCAUCGGACUGGAUGCGUACCUGUGGUAUCACCUUCAGCCUCAGAGGGGCGGGUGGGGUGGGAUUCCAGGGAAGUGGAUUGCCCCAGCCGCCCUGUCACCUGAUCCCACUUGGCUUGGGUGGGCUGUGCCGAUGUGGGAAGACUUGGGAGCCCAAAAGAUGGUUGCCUCUGUUCAGUUCUUGCAAGCCCAGUUCUCAGAAGACGUGGCCACCAAAGAAGUCAGAGGAAGCCCAGGCCAGGGUAGCCAUCAGCUGGUCAGAGGUGGAGGAGGCUCUGGUACUGCUUCAGCUCCAUGCAAACUUGGAUGUGCUGCUGGUAGCCUCGUGGCGAGAGCUGAGUCAGUAUGUGUGUGCCUUCACCAAGGCCCUCGCCCAGCUCCCCUCUAACAGGGCACUGGGCCUCAGGCCAGCAAGUGACCAGAGAUGGCUCUGGGCUCAGAGGAGUGUGGUGGCGACAAAUCAGACAGUUCAACCGGGUCAGCCCAGCUGUGGCUGAUGCUGUUGUUACUGCCUUCCCCUCACCCCGCCUUUU
This 687-nucleotide long non-coding RNA is filed under the name Rattus norvegicus (Norway rat). RNAcentral describes it as "long non-coding RNA NONRATT005263". Lineage: Eukaryota; Metazoa; Chordata; Mammalia; Rodentia; Muridae. The record is from RNAcentral.